GUGUGGCGAGAGAGAUGAGUAAAUAUGGUUUAAACUAUAUUCAUUAAUCGAACAAUUAAUUCCAAUGGAGCAUACAGACAUACUAUUGAUCAUGGAUUGGUAAGAAUAUCCAAGCAACUGAUAUUAAAGUAAUCCAAGACGUGAUAAUGGAACAUGCAAACAUUGUGUUGCACUUCUCUUUGCUGUCAAUGACUUUUGUACUGGACACAAAGAUAGAGGAACUGAAGUAGGAACCGAUAUUGAAUGUGUAUGGGACACACCCAGGAAUGAAUCUACCCCCAUGGAAGUAAAUGAAAUUGACAUAAGAACAGAUACAAGUGUGCCCAAAAAGAUAGCCCCCACCCAUCUAAACUAUAAAUCAACCAAGAACACCCCCAUCUUCUAAUGAAAUCAAGAUUAAGCUAAAAAAUAUUUGUAAAGGUACAAAUGUAUUACUGCUACAAACAUUAUAUGAUGAAGGUGACCAAUCUGAAGAUGAAAAUUGUUUAAAUAUUCCAACAAUUUUAGAUGUGACAAAAUCAAAUCCUUCAAUUAUUUUUGAUGCUUUGAAAGGUAUUUUUACUAAAGAUGUCAUACAGGAAAUAGAAGAAAAUACAAAGGAUCAAAGUGACAAUCCAGAGUGGUUCAAUCAUCGCAAAGGUAGAAUUACAGCAUCAAAUUUUUCUUCUAUAUUGAGUUUCAGAUUUACUGAAAAUAAGGAAAAUUACAUUUCAAAGAGAGUUAUGGGCACAACAGCCCAUAUUGAUACACCAUCAGUGAACUUUGGAAAACAAUAUGAAAAUGUGGCACGUCAAUUAUAUUCUGUGAAUUAUAACAAGAGGCCCAGGGGUCUUAUAGGUCACCUGAGUAUCAUGUAACAACCUUCCAAUGUUUGAAUUAGGUUUGUGUUUAAAUAUAAGAAUUUUACUUUUGGAUGGAAGAAACAUUGAAUAGCUAUGUGGUCAUGAAGUACAUGUGUCAUUUUUAUGUUCAAUCAAUAAUCCUUUUUAAAAAAAACCUAGGUCUGAGACAUCAUAAAGAAAAGGGUUAUUUACUCCUUAGAUAAAACCAAUAUAAGAAGAUUUUCAAAGAAUUUCUACAUUUUCACUAUAUGACCAAAAGAGCCCCACCCUAACACAAGAACCCCUGCCCCAGGGGCCAUGAAUUUCACAAUUUUGGUAGAGGGCUCAACGCUCAUUAUAAUUAUGCCCACAGUUUGGCUUCUUGAUGUCCAGGAGUAAAGAAGAAGAUUUUUUAAAAUUACACUCAUUUUGAUGGUUUUUGCCCCACCCCUCAGGCCCCAGAGGGGCAGGGACCACGAAUUUCACAAUUUUUGUUCCCCUCUACCCACAGAUGCUAUAUGCCAAAAUUGGUUGAAAUUGGUUCAGGGGUUUCAGAGAAGAAGCUGAAAAUGUUCAAAUGUUAACGCACGACGAACGACGACGGACAAAAACAGAAGAUUUUCAAAGAAAUAUUGCAUUUUCACUAUAUAAUCAAUCAGCCCCGCCUUUGCACCAGAACCCCUGACCCAGGGGCCAUAAAUUUCAGUUUUGAAAGAAGCAUCCUUGAUCAUCAUUAUCAUACUAUUCGUUUGUCUACUUAAUACCCAGCAGCAGAGGAGAAGAUUUUCAAAGUAAUAAAAUGCAUUUUCACUAUAUGAUCAAUAGGGCCCCACCCUAAUACCAGAACCCCUGACCCAGGGGCCAUGAAUUUCACAAUUUUGAAAGAGGCAUCCUUGCUCAUCAUAACCAUGCUAUUGGUUUGUCUACUUAAUACCCAAGGACAGAGAAGAAGAUUUUCAAAGAAAUAAUGCAUUUUCACUAUAUGACUUAUAGAGCCCCACCCUAGCACCAGAACCCCUGAUCCAGGGGCCAUGAAUUUCACAAUUUUUAAAGAGGCAUCCUUGCUCAUCAUUACCAUGCUAUUAGUUUGUCUACUUAAUACCCAGAGACAGAGAAGAAGAUUUUCAAAGAAUUUCUACAUUUUCACUAUAUGACCAAUAGAGCCCCACCCUAACACACCAGAACCCCUGAUCCAGGGGCCAUGAAUUUCACAAUUUUUAAAGAGGCAUCCUUGCUCAUCAUUACCAUACUAUUAGUUUGUCUACUUAAUACUCAGAGACAGAGAAGAAGAUUUUCAAAGAAUUUCUACAUUUUCACUAUAUGACCAAAAGAGCCCCACCCUAACACAAGAACCCCAGGGGCCAUGAAUUUCACAAUUUUGGUAGAGGGUUCAACGCUCAUUAUUAUGCCCACAGUUUGGCUUCUUGAUGUCCAGGAUUUUUUAAAAUUACACUCAUUUUGAUGGUUUUUGUCCCACCCCUCAGGCCCCAGGCAGGGACCACGAAUUUCAUAAUUUUUGUUCCCCUCCACCCACAGAUGAUAUAUGCCAAAAUUGGUUGAAAUUGGUUCAGGGGUUUCAGAGAAGAAGCUGAAAAUGUUCAAAUGUUAACGCACGACGAACGACGACGGACAAAAACAGAUAGUGAAUGAUUCAGGUGACCUAAAAAAAAGUCAUCAAAAAUCAAAGAUAGAACUCAGUGGAUUACCUGUUGAUGAGUCACAUCCAUUUUUAGGGGCCUCUCCUGAUGGUCUAGUUAGUUGUAAAUGCUGUGGGGAUGGAUUAAUUGAAAAUGUUCAUACAUGUAUUCAAACAAAACACCAGAAGAAGCAUGUACUGAUCAUCAUUAUCAUGUGUAUUUAGACAAGAACAAUUCUGUGAGACUAAAGGAGAGUUCCUCCUGGUACAUUCAAAUUCAAGGUCAGUUGGGUGUUUGCAAGAAACCAUGGUGUGAUUUCAUUUUGUAUACAAAAAAGGGCGUUGCUGUUGACAGAAUAUAUUUUGACAACCAAUUGUAUGAAAAAAUUGUUAACACAUCCAAGAAAUUUUUUGAAAAAUACAUUGUAAAUGCCCUAGUAAACAAAAAAAAAAAAAAAAAAAAAAUACAAUGAGUUUUAUUCAUUUCUUAACUAAUGGCAUUCCUAAAUUGCAAAGAAAAGCACACACCUUUAAC
Ostrea edulis (European flat oyster) is the source of this 2992-nucleotide long non-coding RNA. RefSeq lists it as uncharacterized. NCBI's taxonomy places the organism in Eukaryota, Metazoa, Mollusca, Bivalvia, Ostreida, Ostreidae. The transcript has 3 exons. The record is from RefSeq and is a predicted model, not a curated record.